RNAcentral lists this ribosomal RNA (497 nucleotides) under uncultured bacterium. Its description in RNAcentral is "partial 16S ribosomal RNA". It matches the Rfam family "Bacterial small subunit ribosomal RNA", at positions 28 to 507 of the family's 1533-position model. The record is from RNAcentral.
GAUGAACGCUGGCGGCGUGCCUAAUACAUGCAAGUCGAACGAACAGAUGAGGAGCUUGCGCCGCUGACGUUUGCGGCGGACGGGUGAGUAACAUGUGUAUCAACUACCUAUAAGAAUGGGAUAACAACGGGAAACCGGAUCUUAUACCGGAUGAUAUAUUGCAUCGCAUUGUGCAAUAGUGAAAGUAGGUUGUUGUGUCACUUAUAGAUGGUUCCGGGCCGCAUUAGCUAGUUGGUAAGGUAACGGCUUAUCAAGGCAACGAUGCGUAGCCGACCUGAUAGAGUGGUAGGCCACACUGGAAGUGAGACUGCGACAGGACUCCUGCGGGAGGGACCAGUAGGGAAUGCUACGCAAUGGGGGAGAGCCUGACAGAGCAACGCCGCGUGAGUGAUGAAGGUCCUGGGAUCGGAAAGAUCUGUUAGUAGUGGAGAACAAAUGUGUAAUUAGCUGUACACGUAUUGACGGUACCUAGUCAGAAAGCCACGGCUAACUACGUG